RNAcentral lists this ribosomal RNA (468 nucleotides) under uncultured bacterium. Its description in RNAcentral is "partial 16S ribosomal RNA". It matches the Rfam family "Bacterial small subunit ribosomal RNA", at positions 28 to 507 of the family's 1533-position model. The record is from RNAcentral.
GACGAACGCUGGCGGCGUGCUUAACACAUGCAAGUCGAACGGAAAGGCCCUGCUUUUGUGGGGUGCUCGUGUGGCGAACGGGUGAGUAACACGUGAGUAACCUGCCCUUGACUUUGGGAUAACUUCAGGAAACUGGGGCUAAUACCGGAUAGGAGCUCCUGCUGCAUGUUGGGGGUUGGAAAGUUUCGGCUGUGGGGGAUGGACUCGCGGCUUAUCAGCUUGUUGGUGGGGUAGUGGCUUACCAAGGCUUUGACGGGUAGCCGGCCUGAGAGGGUGACCAGCCACCAUGGGCCUGCGAUACGGCACAGACUCCUAUGGGAGGCAGCAGUGGGGAAUCUUGCACAAUGGGCGGAAGCCUGAUGCAGAAACGCCGCGUGCGGAAUGACGGCCUUCGGGUUGUAAACCGCUUUCGCAUGUGCCGAAGCGUGAGUGACGGUAAUGGGUAAAGAAGCACCGGCUAACUACGUG